Molecule: RNase P RNA, 364 nt
Filed under: Saprospiraceae bacterium
Lineage: Bacteria; Pseudomonadati; Bacteroidota; Saprospiria; Saprospirales; Saprospiraceae
Description: RNase P RNA component class A
Rfam family: Bacterial RNase P class A
About the family: Ribonuclease P (RNase P) is a ubiquitous endoribonuclease, found in archaea, bacteria and eukarya as well as chloroplasts and mitochondria. Its best characterised activity is the generation of mature 5'-ends of tRNAs by cleaving the 5'-leader elements of precursor-tRNAs.
Source: RNAcentral
AAAGCAAGCAAAGGUGGUUGCCUCGUUGUUUGAUAACAAUGGGGAGGAAAGUCCGAGCUCCACAGGAUAAUGUACCCUGGUAAUGCAGGGCCUUGUCUUAGACAAGAGGAUUAGAGCUACAGUGACGAUGCAAGUAAAUUGGUCUUCGACAAAUUUACCUGAGUGAAACGAGCAAUCUCUACAUGGAGCAAUGCUAAAUAGGCAGAAAGUAAUCUAAGAAUUUACGAACUGGUCCGGUUCGUCGUAUCUGCGGGUAGGCUGCAAGAGUUUAAGGAGUGAUCCUUAAAGUGAGUUGAAUAACCAUCUAGGAGACGUUGUUUACAAUGUCUCCUAAACUGAACUCGGCUUAUAGCGUGCUUUUUUU